GCUCCCAUGGCGUAGUGGUCACUGCACUCGCCUUGCACGCGGGAGACCCGGGUUCGAUUCCUGGCGGAGUCA
RNAcentral lists this transfer RNA (72 nucleotides) under Diaphorina citri (Asian citrus psyllid). It matches the Rfam family "tRNA". From Rfam's summary of the family: Transfer RNA (tRNA) molecules are approximately 80 nucleotides in length. Their secondary structure includes four short double-helical elements and three loops (D, anti-codon, and T loops). The record is from Rfam by way of RNAcentral. Lineage: Eukaryota; Metazoa; Arthropoda; Insecta; Hemiptera; Psyllidae.